CAGCCGCCACGGGAAUACGUAGGGUGCGAGCGUUAAUCGGAAUUACUGGGCGUAAAGCGUGCGCAGGCGGUUGUGUAAGACAGGUGUGAAAUCCCCGGGCUUAACCUGGGAACUGCGCUUGUGACUGCACAGCUAGAGUAUGGCAGAGGGGGGUGGAAUUCCACGUGUAGCAGUGAAAUGCGCAGAGAUGUGGAGGAACACCGAUGGCGAAGGCAGCCCCCUGGGCCAAUACUGACGCUCAUGCACGAAAGCGUGGGGAGCAAACAGGAUUAGAUACCCCCGUAGUCCCUGUCUCUUAUAC
RNAcentral lists this ribosomal RNA (301 nucleotides) under uncultured bacterium. RNAcentral describes it as "partial 16S ribosomal RNA". It matches the Rfam family "Bacterial small subunit ribosomal RNA", at positions 509 to 807 of the family's 1533-position model. The record is from RNAcentral.